GUUGGAGAUGAUUGGUUCUGAGAAUUGGCUGUGAAAGCGGCAUUGCUGACCAGUGAGAGAGACCUAAUGAGGAGCAGGCCGGGGCAACCAAUGAAAUCGGAGAAGAGCGCUUGGGGGCGUGUCCGCCUGCUUUCAGCCUUUGGCAAGUUGGUGGGAGCUAAAAUCAGUCAUCUUCCUGCGAAGGCAUGAGGAGGAAAAGAGAGGAAGUAACUGAGCGAUAAUAUGCUGUAUGAGCCUCCUGCUCUGCUGCCCAUUACCUGCGUCACCUCCACAAGCUACUGAACCUCAAGGAACCCAUCUCCUCAUCAGGAAAAAAAAUAAGCUUUAUGUAG
This 332-nucleotide long non-coding RNA is filed under the name Homo sapiens (human). RNAcentral's name for it is "HSALNT0362891". Lineage: Eukaryota; Metazoa; Chordata; Mammalia; Primates; Hominidae. The record is from RNAcentral.